RNAcentral lists this ribosomal RNA (253 nucleotides) under uncultured bacterium. RNAcentral describes it as "partial 16S ribosomal RNA". It matches the Rfam family "Bacterial small subunit ribosomal RNA", at positions 524 to 776 of the family's 1533-position model. The record is from RNAcentral.
UACGUAGGGGACAAGCGUUGUCCGGAAUCAUUGGGCGUAAAGAGCGUGUAGGCGGCUCGGUAAGUCCGCUGUGAAAGUCCAGGGCUCAACCCUGGAAUGCCGGUGGAAACUGUCGAGCUAGAGUCCGGAAGAGGCGAGUGGAAUUCCUGGUGUAGCGGUGAAAUGCGCAGAUAUCAGGAGGAACACCAAUGGCGAAGGCAGCUCGCUGGGACGGUACUGACGCUGAGACGCGAAAGCGUGGGGAGCAAACAGG